GACGUGGGGCGCGAGCGUUGUCCGGAUUUAUUGGGCGUAAAGAGCUCGUAGGCGGCUUGUCGCGUCGACUGUGAAAACCCGAGGCUCAACUUCGGGCUUGCAGUCGAUACGGGCAGGCUAGAGUUCGGUAGGGGAGACUGGAAUUCCUGGUGUAGCGGUGAAAUGCGCAGAUAUCAGGAGGAACACCGAUGGCGAAGGCAGGUCUCUGGGCCGAUACUGACGCUGAGGAGCGAAAGCGUGGGGAG
This 245-nucleotide ribosomal RNA is filed under the name uncultured Actinoplanes sp. Its description in RNAcentral is "partial 16S ribosomal RNA". It matches the Rfam family "Bacterial small subunit ribosomal RNA", at positions 524 to 768 of the family's 1533-position model. The record is from RNAcentral. Lineage: Bacteria; Bacillati; Actinomycetota; Actinomycetes; Micromonosporales; Micromonosporaceae.